CCUACGGGCGGCAGCAGUGGGGAAUAUUGGACAAUGGGGGGAACCCUGAUCCAGCCAUGCCGCGUGUGUGAAGAAGGCCCUCGGGUUGUAAAGCACUUUCAGUGAGGAAGAACGCCUGGUGGUUAAUACCCAUCAGGAAAGACAUCACUCACAGAAGAAGCACCGGCUAACUCCGUGCCAGCAGCCGCGGUAAUACGGAGGGUGCGAGCGUUAAUCGGAAUUACUGGGCGUAAAGCGCGCGUAGGUGGCUUGAUAAGCCGGUUGUGAAAGCCCCGGGCUUAACCUGGGAACGGCAUCCGGAACUGUCAAGCUAGAGUGCAGGAGAGGAAGGUAGAAUUCCCGGUGUAGCGGUGAAAUGCGUAGAGAUCGGGAGGAAUACCAGUGGCGAAGGCGGCCUUCUGGACUGACACUGACACUGAGGUGCGAAAGCGUGGGUAGCAAACAGGAUUAGAUACCCGUGUAGUC
Molecule: ribosomal RNA, 465 nt
Filed under: Vreelandella stevensii
Lineage: Bacteria; Pseudomonadati; Pseudomonadota; Gammaproteobacteria; Oceanospirillales; Halomonadaceae
Description: partial 16S ribosomal RNA
Rfam family: Bacterial small subunit ribosomal RNA
Source: RNAcentral